Long non-coding RNA from Oryzias melastigma (Indian medaka), 535 nucleotides. RefSeq lists it as uncharacterized. NCBI's taxonomy places the organism in Eukaryota, Metazoa, Chordata, Actinopteri, Beloniformes, Adrianichthyidae. The transcript has 2 exons. The record is from RefSeq and is a predicted model, not a curated record.
GAUUAGUCGACUAAUCGUGGCAGCCCUAAUUACUACUAACCAGAAGUGAUUCAGCAGCAUUGGGUUCUGGAGCGUAAGGAGCUUAUAGACGUUAGAAACUAUGUUUGCUAGCUUAUACUACGAGAGAAACUGUCAUGGUGCCUCUGUCAGUCUCCUCCCCCUCUCCACUCUCCCCUCCUCUCCACCUGGCUGCUGAUCAUCCCCAGCUGCAACCACUCAUCUCGUCUCCUCACCUGCCUACUUAAGGAGCUCCAGGACCUUCAUUCCCCGCCAGUCCGUUGCCCCUGAUGGAAUCUCCUACCUCGAGUGGUUGCAUGUUUUUCCCCACUUCCGGAUCUCCAGUCGGGUCUCCUUCCACGGUCACACCACGAGCCUCUGCCUCUGCUUCACGUUCCUGCGUCCAAGACGGCCAUCUCCCUCUUGGAGGACAAGAUCGCCUACUACGCCUCCAACCUCUGCCUCCUGCUCGGAGCCUGCUUCCUGUCCUGUUCAGGACCCAACCUUCUCACCACAUUAUUAAAAUUAUUGCCUUCCA